AACAUGAUUACUGGUUCAUAUGGUAAGAAUAUGUUCAUUUUUGUAAGAAACUGUCAAAAUAUCUUCCAAAAUGGCUUUACCAUUUUGCAUUCCAACCAGUAAU
Molecule: microRNA precursor, 103 nt
Filed under: Marmota monax (woodchuck)
Lineage: Eukaryota; Metazoa; Chordata; Mammalia; Rodentia; Sciuridae
Source: RNAcentral